CUACGGGAUGCAGCAGUGGGGGAUAUUGCACAAUGGGCGAAAGCCUGAUGCAGCAACGCCGCGUGAAGGAUGACGGAUUUCGGUCUGUAAACUUCUAUCAGCAGGGAAGAAAAUGACGGUACCUGACUAAGAAGCCCCGGCUAACUACGUGCCAGCAGCCGCGGUAAUACGUAGGGGGCAAGCGUUAUCCGGAAUUACUGGGUGUAAAGGGUACGUAGGCGGCUGAUCAAGUCAGAUGUGAAAGCCCGGAGCUCAACUCCGGGAUUGCAUUUGAAACUGGUCGGCUAGAGUGCAGGAGAGGAAAGUGGAAUUCCUAGUGUAGCGGUGAUAUGCGUAGAUAUUAGGAAGAACACCAGUGGCGAAGGCGGCUUUCUGGACUGUAACUGACGCUGAGGUACGAAAGCGUGGGGAGCGAACAGGAUUAGAUACCCGGGUAGUC
This 439-nucleotide ribosomal RNA is filed under the name uncultured bacterium. RNAcentral describes it as "partial 16S ribosomal RNA". It matches the Rfam family "Bacterial small subunit ribosomal RNA", at positions 339 to 795 of the family's 1533-position model. The record is from RNAcentral.